AGACCCGAAACCCGGUGAUCUAGCCAUGGGCAGGUUGAAGGUUGGGUAACACUAACUGGAGGACCGAACCGACUAAUGUUGAAAAAUUAGCGGAUGACCUGUGGCUGGGGGUGAAAGGCCAAUCAAACCGGGAGAUAGCUGGUUCUCCCCGAAAGCUAUUUAGGUAGCGCCUCGUGAAUUCAUCUCCGGGGGUAGAGCACUGUUUCGGCUAGGGGGCCAUCCCGGCUUACCAACCCGAUGCAAACUGCGAAUACCGGAGAAUGUUAUCACGGGAGACACACGGCGGGUGCUAACGUCCGUCGUGAAGAGGGAAACAACCCAGACCGCCAGCUAAGGUCCCAAAGUCAUGGUUAAGUGGGAAACGAUGUGGGAAGGCCCAGACAGCCAGGAUGUUGGCUUAGAAGCAGCCAUCAUUUAAAGAAAGCGUAAUAGCUCACUGGUCGAGUCGGCCUGCGCGGAAGAUGUAACGGGGCUAAACCAUGCACCGAAGCUGCGGCAGCGAACGUAUCACCCAAGACAACUUUACGGAGUUGACGAUUGACGGAGCGAAGCGACGUCAAAGCGUUCAUUAAAGUCGAGUUGGCUUAGGGAUACGUUCGUUGGGUAGGGGAGCGUUCUGUAAGCCUGUGAAGGUGUGUCGUGAGGCAUGCUGGAGGUAUCAGAAGUGCGAAUGCUGACAUAAGUAACGAUAAAGCGGGUGAAAAGCCCGCUCGCCGGAAGACCAAGGGUUCCUGUCCAACGUUAAUCGGGGCAGGGUGAGUCGACCCCUAAGGCGAGGCCGAAAGGCGUAGUCGAUGGGAAACGGGUUAAUAUUCCCGUACUUGGUGUUACUGCGAAGGGGGGACGGAGAAGGCUAUGUUGGCCGGGCGACGGUUGUCCCGGUUUAAGCGUGUAGGUGUGUGUUCCAGGUAAAUCCGGUUCACUUUAACACUGAGGCGUGAUGACGAGGCACUACGGUGCUGAAGCAACAAAUGCCCUGCUUCCAGGAAAAGCCUCUAAGCAUCAGGUAACACGAAAUCGUACCCCAAACCGACACAGGUGGUCAGGUAGAGAAUACCAAGGCGCUUGAGAGAACUCGGGUG
Molecule: ribosomal RNA, 1082 nt
Filed under: Salmonella enterica subsp. enterica serovar Typhimurium
Lineage: Bacteria; Pseudomonadati; Pseudomonadota; Gammaproteobacteria; Enterobacterales; Enterobacteriaceae
Description: partial 23S ribosomal RNA
Rfam family: Bacterial large subunit ribosomal RNA
Source: RNAcentral